Long non-coding RNA from Eupeodes corollae, 587 nucleotides. RefSeq lists it as uncharacterized. NCBI's taxonomy places the organism in Eukaryota, Metazoa, Arthropoda, Insecta, Diptera, Syrphidae. The transcript is spliced from 3 exons. The record is from RefSeq and is a predicted model, not a curated record.
AAAAAAUCAGCACCCAGAUUUCUCCAUGAAACUGAACGAAUCAGAUCGUAUUCGGCCUUUAACAAUCGAAACUGAGCCAAAAAUUAGGCAAGAUGUGGAGAUUCAAAAGGACGAAUACGAUCUGAUUCUAAAGUUCUACAUGAGCUUCUGGAAGCCUUGAAGGACAAGCGAUUGAAAAAGCCCAAGGAAGACUAUACUUGUAUCUUCAUAUAUACUUGUCACAAUAUAACACAAAUUGGUCAAAAAAUCAACUCAAAUGAAUAUUUUUUAAUGCAUGGAGCUUAUCGUCCUUGAAACGCAUUCUUUCUCUAUAUAGCUUUUAUUAUUUUUUAUUUUAUUUUAAUGCAUUUAUUUAAUAUUAUUUAUUCUCGAGUUUCUUUAAGUUGUUGUUCAUUUGAAGAAUUAAAUUAUCAAAAUAAAAAUAUGUUAGUUUUUUGGUAAAAUUAACACAAUUUUAAAUCAAUUGUUUGUUUUAUUUCUUUUAAAGGAGAAGAACACGAACACAAAAUGUCUUGACAGGUAAUAUUCCUCAGGUUUCAGAAUCAUAGCAACGCUUCAACCUUUCAAAUAAGCUUUCUCUUACCCCA